GGGCGCUUAGCUCAACGGCAGAGCAGUCGGCUCAUAACUGAUUGGUUGAAGGUUCGAAUCCUUCAGCGCCCA
Molecule: transfer RNA, 72 nt
Filed under: Anaerolineaceae bacterium
Lineage: Bacteria; Bacillati; Chloroflexota; Anaerolineae; Anaerolineales; Anaerolineaceae
Also listed under: 2 other names
Description: tRNA-Ile
Rfam family: tRNA
About the family: Transfer RNA (tRNA) molecules are approximately 80 nucleotides in length. Their secondary structure includes four short double-helical elements and three loops (D, anti-codon, and T loops).
Source: RNAcentral